RNAcentral lists this unclassified non-coding RNA (228 nucleotides) under uncultured fungus. RNAcentral describes it as "sequence contains ITS2". Lineage: Eukaryota; Fungi. The record is from RNAcentral.
AAAACAAUCAACCUUGGUUUUGGGGCAACCCUCGAUCUCGGCUUGGACUUGGGCGUUUGCCAUCUUCACGGGUGGCUCGCCUCAAAUGAAUUAGCUGGACCUGUUUGUGAGGAAUGGUUCUACUCGGCGUAAUAAGUAUUUCGCUGAGGACAUGGCUUCGGCUGUGGCCUUCUUCUCGACGAUCGUCUGCUUUCAAACCCUGUUCUCCUCGGAGACGCACUUUUUAUG